Haemorhous mexicanus (house finch) is the source of this 1006-nucleotide long non-coding RNA. RefSeq lists it as uncharacterized. NCBI's taxonomy places the organism in Eukaryota, Metazoa, Chordata, Aves, Passeriformes, Fringillidae. The transcript is spliced from 2 exons. The record is from RefSeq and is a predicted model, not a curated record.
UUGGGAUGGGGGUUGGGAUGACAUGUCCUUUGGGAUCCUGGUUCUGCACCAAAGUAGUGUUGGGAUAGGUGGGAAUGGUGUUGGGACACACCGGAAUAACAUUAUUGUACGUGGGAAUGAUGUUAUGAGGCACCAGAGUAAUGUUGGGAUGUGUGGGAAUAGUGUUGGGAUACACAGGAACAGUUUUAUGAUACAUGGGAAUAAUGUUGGGAUACAUGGGAAUAAUGUUGGGAUACAUGGGAAUAAUUAUAUGAUUUAUGGGAAUAACGUUAUUAUACAUGGGAACAAUGUUAUGAGACACCAGAGUAAUGUUGGGAUGUGUGGGAAUAGUGUUGGGAUACAGGAAUAAUGUUGGGAUACAUGGGAAUAACCUUAUGAUAUAUGGGAAUAAUGUUAUUAUACAUGGGAAUAAUGUUAUGAGGCACCAGAGCAAUGUUGGGUUGUGUGGGAAUAAUGUUGGGAUACACAGGAACAGUUUUAUGAUACAUGGGAAUAAUGUUGGGAUACAUGGGAAUAAUGUUGGGAUACAUGGGAAUAAUUAUAUGAUAUAUGGGAAUAAUGUUAUUAUACAUAAUAAUAAUGUUAUGAGACACCAGAGUAAAGUUGGGAUAUAGGAAUAAUGUUGGGAUACAUGGGAAUAAUGUUGGGAUACAUGGGAAUAAUGUUAUGAUAUAUGGGAAUAAUGUUAUUAUACAUGGGAACAAUGUUGUGAGACACCAGAAUAAUGUUAGGAUGUGUGGGAAUAAUGUUGGGAUACACGGGAAUACUGUUGGGGGAUACAUGGGAAUAAUGAUACGAUAUGUGGGAAUAAUGUUAUAAAACAGGAGCGAUGUUGGGCUACAUGGGAAUAAUGUUGGGAUACAUAGAAAUAAUGUUAUUAUACAUGGGAAUAAUGUUAUGAGACACCAGAGCAAUGUUGGGAUGUGUGGGAAUAAUGUUGGGAUACAUGGGAAUAACAAUCUGAUAUAUGGGAAUAACAUUAUUAAACGUGGGAAUAAUGCUGCCA